This 69-nucleotide microRNA precursor is filed under the name Medicago truncatula (barrel medic). Its description in RNAcentral is "MIR2629 microRNA precursor family". It matches the Rfam family "MIR2629 microRNA precursor family". Lineage: Eukaryota; Viridiplantae; Streptophyta; Magnoliopsida; Fabales; Fabaceae. The record is from Rfam by way of RNAcentral.
AAUUUGAGGUUUCCUCGGUAGUUAACUGCAGCCGAUUCCAUAAUUCGGCAGUUAACUGCCGAAGGGCAU